GUGGCUUGUAUCGACCCGAGCCGUGCCGAAGCUAACGCGUUAAGUUUCCCGCCUGGGGAGUACGCACGCAAGUAUGAAACUCAAAGGAAUUGACGGGGGCCCGCACAAGCGGUGGAGUAUGUGGUUUAAUUCGAUGCAACGCGAAGAACCUUACCAAGGCUUGACAUGUCGCGAACCCCGGUGAAAGCUGGGGGUGCCUUCGGGAGCGCGAACACAGGUGGUGCAUGGCUGUCGUCAGCUCGUAUCGUGAGAUGUUGGGUUAAGUCCCGCAACGAGCGCAACCCUCGUCCUUAGUUGCCAGCAUUGAGUUGGGCACUCUAGGGAGACUGCCGGUGACAAACCGGAGGAAGGUGGGGAUGACGUCAAGUCAUCGUGCUCCUUACGCCUUGGGCGACACACGUACUACAAUGGUCGGGACAAAGGGCAGCGACCCCGCGAGGGUGAGCGAAUCUCAUCAAACCCGACCUCAGUUCAGAUUGCAGGCUGCAACUCGCCUGCAUGAAGGAGGAAUCGCUAGUAAUCGCAGGUCAGAAUACUGCGGUGAAUCCGUUCCCGGGCCUUGUACACACCGCCCGUCACACCAUGGAAGCUGGCCACACCCGAAGUCGUUACC
RNAcentral lists this ribosomal RNA (613 nucleotides) under uncultured cyanobacterium. RNAcentral's name for it is "bacterial SSU rRNA". It matches the Rfam family "Bacterial small subunit ribosomal RNA", at positions 822 to 1434 of the family's 1533-position model. Lineage: Bacteria; Bacillati; Cyanobacteriota. The record is from RNAcentral.